RNAcentral lists this ribosomal RNA (197 nucleotides) under Vibrio alginolyticus. RNAcentral's name for it is "partial 23S ribosomal RNA". It matches the Rfam family "Bacterial large subunit ribosomal RNA", at positions 2752 to 2925 of the family's 2925-position model. The record is from RNAcentral. Lineage: Bacteria; Pseudomonadati; Pseudomonadota; Gammaproteobacteria; Vibrionales; Vibrionaceae.
AGUUCGGGAUCGAUAACCGCUGAAAGCAUCUAAGCGGGAAGCGAGCCUUGAGAUGAGUUCUCCCUGAUACUUUAAGUAUCCUAAAGGGUUGUCGUAGACUACGACGUUGAUAGGCAGGGUGUGUAAGCGUUGUGAGGCGUUGAGCUAACCUGUACUAAUUGCCCGUGAGGCUUAACCAUACAACACCCAAGGGGUUU